RNAcentral lists this unclassified non-coding RNA (202 nucleotides) under Hevea brasiliensis (rubber tree). Lineage: Eukaryota; Viridiplantae; Streptophyta; Magnoliopsida; Malpighiales; Euphorbiaceae. The record is from RNAcentral.
GAACAAAUCAGGUUUCAGGGGAUUACGGAGAAAGAAAAGAACAGGAAAAAGGAACAUACCACAGAAUCGUAAGUGUCGGGAAUCGAGUCUGAUAAGGCAGAGCGCUUAGUUCCUCUCAUGAUUUUGAACAAAUCUUGUAAAAGCGAAAAAUAGUGAAAGAUUUAGGGUUUUCCAAAAUUUUACAACUUUUUUCUUUUUUUUU